RNAcentral lists this ribosomal RNA (133 nucleotides) under Candidatus Avamphibacillus intestinigallinarum. Its description in RNAcentral is "partial 16S ribosomal RNA". It matches the Rfam family "Bacterial small subunit ribosomal RNA", at positions 1 to 116 of the family's 1533-position model. The record is from RNAcentral. Lineage: Bacteria; Bacillati; Bacillota; Bacilli; Caryophanales.
UCUUUGGAGAGUUUGAUCUUGGCUCAGGACGAACGCUGGCGGCGUGCCUAAUACAUGCAAGUCGAGCGCGGGAAGCAUACAGAAGCCUUCGGGUGGACGUAUGUGGAACGAGCGGCGGACGGGUGAGUAACAC